Long non-coding RNA from Mirounga angustirostris (Northern elephant seal), 8451 nucleotides. RefSeq lists it as uncharacterized. Lineage: Eukaryota; Metazoa; Chordata; Mammalia; Carnivora; Phocidae. The record is from RefSeq and is a predicted model, not a curated record. The transcript has 2 exons.
UUGGAGCCAGCGCCGCGAGUUGAGCCCAGGGGCCCCCGGGGCGGGGCCGAGGCAGGGGCCGCGGGAAGGUGGGGUCCUGGGGGUGUGGGACCCCAGCACUGAUGUCCCUGCGACCUGCGGCGCUCCUCGUGUAGCAUUACCAAGCACGCACAGUUAUCCCCAUUUCACGGAGGAGGAGACUGAGGCCCCGCGCUUUGCCCAAGCGAACGCAGCCAGGACGGGAACGAGAAGGGUUCGGGGACGGGGGCUUCAAAGCGGGUCAGAUGGCUCCAGAGGCGGUUUCUUUCUUCUCGCUCCGACUACGCUUCUUUGGGGUACUGGUUGUCCGCAGCGCCCAGAGGCUCUGACACUGACCUGGCAUAAAUAGCACCGAGCGCUAAUAAUUGGGCUUUGUUUUAAAAUGGGCCACCGCAUCUUUCGGAACCUCUCGAUUACGCGCGGUGUGACCCAGGCCCAGCCCGUGGGCGAGGAGCGGACUGCGCGACCCGGGCUCGGGGGUACAGAGGACAAGGGCGUGGGAGCGCGUGGGGGCUCGUGGCUGCGCGCAGGGUACGGGAACCAGGGGGCCCCAGCGACCCAAACCCCGCGGACUGGGCGAGCGCCGGCGGCAGGGAGGAGGGCUGGGCCGGCGAGCGCUCGGCACAAAGUGUUCCCGAACACCGCGGGGAGGCCCUGCCAAGUUCUCGGCGGGCCUGAAGCGGAAACGUAGAUAAUGAGGCCCAAGGGCGGGACCAGGCGUACUGCCCCAGCCGGCUCCCCACUGCCAGGGCCGCACAGUGCAGCGGCGGGGAGGCUUGGGGACAGAAAACCCAGACGCGCCGAUCUACCUGUGGGACCCUCGUAGAGAUGCGCCGCAAGGAUCCAGAAGGGCUGGAGGACUUGGAGUCCCACAGUGCUCCGCCAGGGGCUCCGUCGGAGGAACUGCUUUAUUCACAAUAGCCCAAAGGUAGAAGCAACCCAAGUACCCAUCGUCAGAUGAGUGGAUGAACAAAAUGUGGACGUAAAAAGGAAUGAUUUCUGAUACAUGCUACAUGCUACAACAUGGAUGAACCUCGAAAACAUUAUGGUAGGUGAAAUAAUCCAGACACAAUAUGAUAAACAUUGUAUGGUUCCACUUACAUGAAAUAUCUAGAAAAGGCAAAUUCAUGGAGACAGAAAGUAAAUUCGAGGUUACUAAGAGCAGGGAGAAGGGAGAAUGGAGAAUUAUUACUUAAUGGGUCCAGAGCUGUUGUUUGGGGUGAUGAAAAAGUUCUGGAAAUAGAUAGUGGGGAUGGUUGCACAACAUGGUGAAUGUAAUUAACACCACUGAAUUGUACCCUUGAAAUAGCAAAUUCUAUAGGGUUUUAUAACUUCAGAAAAUUAAUAAUGCAGUAUUCCAAAAAAUGUCAAACUCUAUGCUUUAAAUUGGUGGGUUGCGUGGUAUGUGUAUUAUAUUUCCAUAAAGCUUUUUUUUUUUUUUUAAUCAAACAAUAACAACAUCAGAGUGGAUUCAAGGGGAUGGCUGGGGGGAUGUGUAGUCAGGAGGCUAUGGCUAUGCUUUGGGGCUGGGGCUUUGCAGGCCCAGAGAGAAGGGGCAAGUAGCCAAAUUGGAAAGGCCUUGGGAGGGGGUGGACAGUGCUGGGUGACCAGGCUACUGGGGGACACAGGAGAGAGGAACCUGAAGGACAAUUCCCGGCUGCCCUCAGCUUUGCCCCUCAGCUACUUGCUGCAAAGCCAGAUUUUAGUCCUAAUCUGAUCUCUUUAAGGAUUUUUGGAAUCUCAUGAGAAAGUUAAAGAAUUCCAUUUAUCUUCUUCUCUGAACCCCACACUUCCAAGUCCCUUUGUGCCCCAACCAAAUGGAAACCAGUUACUGCCUAUCCCCGAUUUCCCUCUCUCUAAAUAUUAUACAGUCGAAUACCUCAACUCUGGGGCACCAUAAAAACUCUUAGGACAGGAAAAUGGGGGGCGGACACACACUUCAAAGAGAGGGAAACUUGUAAAAUCCAUCUGGGGCAUGAAGAGAAAUGACCUUUCCCACCAAGACAGUCCCCACCUCCCCCGUACUCUUCCUCCUAUGAUGGAAUUUUAAAAAUCACAAGCAGUCGGAGCCACUUGGUUAUCCGGCACGACUCCAGGAGCCGGAAUCAAAGCGAAUGCAGUGUGAUGAGUGAGGAUGAGCCCAGCAAGAGCGCUUCUGAAACGUCCCUACUCAUAGCAGCCCCGCAGUUAGCACCUAACCAGGAUCGGCUACAUAAUUCGCUGGCCUCGUGCAGCAUGAAAGCUCGGGGUUUCUUGUCCAAAAAUAAUUAAGAAUUUCAAGACAGCGACAGCAGAGCAUGUAAACCGAGCACGGGCUCUUCCAGCACGUGGUCCUGAGCGGCUGCACAGGUCACGUGCCCGCGAAGCUGGCCGAGAUGUUACCACUGUCUCUAGAUCUCAGACGUGGAAACUGACCACACAAAGUCAAACAGACCAUCUGUGGCAGAAUCUGAAGCUUUCUUAACCGGCAAAGACGCAGAAAUCCGGGAUGGACACCGGUAUGGAGUAAAAGCGUUCCUUUCUAUUGCGUGGUCUUGCCCCUCCUUGCACACAAGUGUGAGAAGCGCCCCUGUACCUGCCACCUUCAUUCUGUGUGAGAGGCAGCCUUUGUGGGACAUUGUUAAUUCCAUGCCUUCCCCCCCCCACCCCCACCGCCCUUCCUCUUUGGAAGCAAUCCUGUCCCUUCUUUCCAGCUCUGAGGGACAUGCCUCUUUUCCUCCUUUUUUUGAGACCCUGGCUCCUUCCCUCCCCACGGAGCCAAGCCUGUAUUGGAGGCUGUCUGUGGGCUGUGUGCUCAGACUCCCCGUGCUGCGGCCGGCUUCUCUCCUGGGCCAUCGAGGUAAAGCUCUGGCCUUUCAACAAAGACAGGCUACUGCCAUUCUCAGAAGACAUAAGCCACCAUUUGUCAGCCUCAAAGAGACCAACCUUUCAGCCCAGGAGAGCGAGGCCGAAUGUUGUCCAGAGCUAAAAAGGCUUAUUUUUAUUUAUUUAUUUAUCUAUCUAUCUAUCUAUCUAUCUAUCUAUCUAUCUAUCUAUCUAUUUAUUUAUUUAUAAAGAUUUUAUUUAUUUAUUUGAGACAGAGAGAAUGAGAGAGAGAGAGCACAUGAGAGGGGGGAGGGUCAGAGGCAGAAGCAGGCUCCCUGCCGAGCAGGGAGCCCGAUGCGGGACUCGAUCCUGGGACUCCAGGAUCAUGACCUGAGCCGAAGGCAGUCGCUUAACCAACUGAGCAACCCAGGCACCCAAAAAAGGCUUAUUUUUAGAAAGCAACAAAUGGUGGUUUGUUUAUAGAGCUGACAGCAAAUAGCUACAUCAAUAGCAAAGAGCCUGCUCACUGAGGACUGAAGGCUGGGGGAGGAGGGGGCACUAGGAAGGAUGUGAGGGGGCCUACAGAAGGAGGCCUUUAAGAAUAUGCCAACUGAUGACUAUACGGCAGUCCGUCCAAGGUCAAAGGCAUCAAGUGCAAUAGGGUCUACUCUGCCACAUGCAGAGGCAUUUGACCUCCCUGCCCUCGUUUUCCACAUCUGCAAGACGAAAAGCUUGGGCUGUGCAGUCCAUUUGGGCUCCAAGAGCCCAUAACCUAUUUAAAUUAGAUGUAGGAUUUCAGGAAAUUGGGCUAAAUCUAUAUGAUUCCUUGACAUUCCUUGACAUUUUCUCAAAUACAUCUUUUCAUUCAUUUCUGGAUAUGCUACCCGUUUGUUUCUAUGUCAGUCAUAUUUUUCUCUUUCUAAAAGAAGAAUGCGAUGCAAGCAGACUUCUGGGGGUCCUUGGAGCAAUGCGAAUGAGUGAAUUCUGAUCCAUGGGGGAUUUCAGUGUAAAACUUCCCAAGUAUCCAAAGCAGUGAGCUCAGUUUCUGAAAGAGAGCAGACCCUUCCCCCUCAAGACUAGAAGGUGCUAGGUCCCCAUGGAAGCUCUGAGGUUGCUCUCUGCUGCCUUCAGCAGCACUGCAGGAAGCCAGGUCUGCCUGAGAGAGACCCUAGUCUUCUCCAGAAACCCCUAACCCCCUCUCCACCCUCUUGUCUUCUCCUCCCUUCCCUGUUGGGGGCCGGGCACCCAUCCUACCCAGCUGUCUGCCAUCAGAAAGGAAAGUGUGCUGAGGGAAGGAAGCUCUGUAGUAUGUUGGAAAGAAGUCCGUGUAGCUCUGAAAACCAAGCUUGCCCUACAGGUGUAGGGCAGAGUGUAGGGCAAUGGUUAGUUGUAUGUGUUCUGUGGUCAGAGCUCAGGCACAGAGGUUCGAAGCCCAGCUCUGCCGCUCUGGAUACUUAUGUGGGGAUAGUGGUACCGUUUAGAGCUAAUAUAGCUGAAAGGCUAGUCAGAGUGGAAGCCUCAUCGAUGGUAGCCAUGAUAAUAAAUAUAACCAUUUCAUGGGAGACUUAGUGUAUUAUUAUUUAUUGAGCAUAAGACAGUGUUUGACUUCCAUUUGAACCAUUGGAAAUGUCUCUGUGACCAAAUAUACUUUCCCUUCUUAGGUAAGAAGGAAAGUAGUUUCCAACUUAUCCAUCUCAAUGACAGUGACCCUGGUCCCCUGGUGGGACACUGAAAAGGGUUUUAUUACCAGAUUUUGUUUUCCUUUUCCUGUGAACUGGCUAGGACAUUGUCCCCAGUCCUGGUUUUUUAAUAUCCUCUUUUUCUCCCCACCUCUGGUCCACUCUGUCAGGCUCCUCAGGCCUGGCUCACCUCCUCCCCUCUUCCUCUGCCCAGAAGUGUCCCUGUCCCCCCCCAAUGCUCUCUGAGUGCUUGGGACCCGGCUUUCCUCCAAAAUGGCAGCCAAAUCUGACGCCACCUCCAGAACUUUUUCUUCUUGCAAAAUUGAAACUCUGUCCCCAUUAAACACUAGCUGUCCAGUCACCCCUCCUUCCAGGACCUGACAAACACUAUUCUACUUUCUGUCUUUAUGAGUUUGACUACCUUAGGUGCUCAUAUAAGUGGAAUCAUACAGUAUUUGUCCUUUUGUGGCUGGCUUAUUUCACGUAGCAUAACGUCCUCAAGAUUCAUCCAUGUUGUAGCACCUGUCAGAGUCUCCUUGUUUUUCAAGGACUGAGUAACAUUCCAUUGUAUGGAUGCACUACAUCACCCCCUCUGUGACUUUGUCUCUCCCCUAAAGAAGAGAAGGGGAUGGUCAUGCAUACGCCCAGUUGGUUUCCCGUUGGUCAGCAGUGGUAAAAACCCUCAGCAAAAGCCUCAGGAAGGUGGGGGCUCUGCUGGGAGGCCCAGGACUGUUGCAGAGGCACAGGGAAGGGAGACACCUGCAGCUCCAGAAGGUCCAGCUCCUGUGCACCAGACAAGGAAAUGCCACUAGGAUCUGUCAAUGGCGCCCUCUGUAGGUGAGAAUCUCAAUCUAUGUCUUAGUACUGGUGACAGGAGCCCAUGAAUUUUCAAAAAUAAUUUUUUAUUGUGGUCAAAUAUGCAAAACAUAAAACUUACCAUGUUAACCAUUUUUAAGUGUAGAGUUUAGUGGUCUUGAGCACAUUCAUCUGGUUAUGCAACCAUCCCUUCCAUCCACCUCCAGAACUUUGUCAUCCUCAAAAACUGAAAUACUAAACACUUUAAACACUAACACCCCGUUUCUCCUCCCUCAGUCCCUGGCACCCACCAUCCCACUCUCCGUGUCUAUGACUUUGUCAGCUCUCGGUACCUCACAUGAGUGGAAUCAUACUGUGUUUGUCCUUUCGUAACUGGCUUAUUUCACUUAGGAUAGUGUCCUCAACAUUGAGGACGCUCAAUGUUGAGUGGAAUCGUACAGUGUUUGUCCUUUCGUAACCUGCUUAUUUCACUUAGGAUAGUGUCCUCAACAUUCAGCUCUGUUGUAGCAGGUGUCAGAAUGUCCCUCCUUUCUGAUGUUGAAUAAUAUUCCAUUGUAUGGAUAUAUCACAUUUUGUUUAGCCAGUCAUCUGUUGAUGGACACUUGGGGAGCUUCCAUCUCUUGGCUAUUGUGAAUAAUGCCGCUAUGAAUAUGGGUGUACACGAAAAUUUUUUUAAAUUUAAAUGUCAUUCCCGAGAGAACGUGUACCAAAGGGAAAACAAAUUAAAGUCCAUUGACAGGAAUUCAGAAUCAACAAAAGUGAGUUCCGAUUAAGGACAUAGAACUUGGUUCAUGGUGCCCUUAGUGUCUUCUUGAUUUUUCACAGAAUCUCUAUGUUAAAACAAAAACCUGAACUGCUCUGUUUAUUUAAUAGCUAGAGCCAAACUUAACGAAAGUAUUUCUGUUCCAACAAUUAAGUACUGUUUGGGAAAAAAAAUACAUGUUUAUUGAAAGAAAAAUAUUUUUCUUUUAUUCUUAUAUAACUGAUGUAGGAAAGACAUUAGGGUUUGAAGCCGAUGGCCAAGAAAGAAUUCUUGAAACAUCUUUGAUGCAAAAAGGUGUUUUUAUUAAAGCACGGGGACGGGACCCGUGGGCAGAAAUAGCUGCGCUGGGGUCAUGAGGAGUGGCCCAUUAUAUACUUCCAAGUUGGGAGGGGGUUAGGGAGAGCGUUAAGUCUCUAAGGAAUUUUGGAAGCAAGGUUUCCAGGACCUUAAGGGGGCUAGCUAUUGUUGGGAAAAGGUCAUUUAUUACCAUCUAAUAAAACCUGACUCAUGAGACCCUUCAGAUGUAUAUCAGUGGGCCAUAUGUUUGGGGAGAUGAUUGUCAACAUGUAUCUUGGGGGGUUUAGAGAUUUAUAUGUUAUUUAUAUAACAUAUAAACAUUGUAUUUAUAUGUUAAACAAAAUACAUAUAAACAUAUAAAUGUUUAACAUUUUUAUAUGUUAAAGUAGACUUACAGGAUCCUGGAUGGGGGGCGGGGCUAGGAUUAGCUUUCGCCCUUAGCAAAGUAUUAACAUCCAGGCAGUUGAGUCCCUAGGGGAACGUCACUCUGCCUGUUUCAAGAACUUGUCAGGGGGCUGUACGUAGUAAGGAAAUAUAAUAAUCUUUCUUCUGCCUUUGUUUCCCACAUCAUUACCACAGUUAUUUACUAUUGAGGUAUGUGCACCUGUUGGGCACAUCACUGAUUCUCCAACCUUGAAAUCAGAUCACAGACUUCCAUCUUUAUUUCCUGUUCCAUGUUCAUUUUUCUUGGUACUGGCUUUAAAUAAAAGUAACCACUGAAAUCCCAGCUUUGCAAAGCUAUGACAUCAUCAGAAGACAAGCAGCACAAUCUAAUGUUGAAACUAUGAACUACCUUGAGUUAGUAGUUUGCAAGAGAUCUCAGAAAUUGCUGUGUUUCUUUUAACUUAUAAAAAUAUUCCAACCUGUGAGUUUCUUGUGGCGUUCUCAGUCCUUUGGCCCCCAGUUUGGGACCUGCAAAUCCAGACAAUUCAAAUACAGCGAAGACCUCACCUUGCUAAUUCAAGGGCUCCAUGAAUUGUUCCCACCUGACUCUCCAAGUGACCUCAGUUGCACACAAGCUAGCCCCUAUUCUGUUUCUUGAGCUCUCUGAUCACGCUCCCACCUCAGGGCCUUUGCAUUUCCUGUAGCUUCUACCUGGAAUGUUUUUUCCUCACGGGUUGCCGUGGCUCUUCUCCCUAAUCUUUCAGGGUCUGUCCUUCUCUGUCCACGCCAAUCACCAUGACCCACUAUAUGCAUCUUCAGAGCACUCAUGGCAACCUGCCAGCCGUUCUAUCGUUCUUCCUGCACUUUAGGUGAUUUGCCCAACACAAACCCCUCUGAAAAUACAAUUAGGUCGAAAUUAGUGGUCCAGGAUUAUUUCAAUAGUAACAAAGCAAAAUGGCAAUGUGGAUGUAAUUCAAAUGUUAACGAACACAAAAGGAAGUAAACUGAAAACUAAAGACCAAUGACAGUAAAUGAAAUAAUGCAAAUGCACAACAUUGUCACGACUUAAACCAGCAAGCCAGCAAUGCUCUGAGAGGGGAUGUCAGCUGAGGAGAAGAUGACAGUGUUGUGGUACUGAGCUGCUCCCAGAGACCUCAAAAUCCAGAUGGCUGCUGGGCAUGUGAAGAAAUGCCUCUCCCUCCUGAGGGAGGAAACACAAAGUCACAUCGCUAAGAGGCAUGCACACUGGGCCACUUUUUUUUGGUCUUAAACUUGGUUUUAAUGGGUUUCAAAAUUGUGUGACAGAUUUUGGGUCCAGUUGUUUCCAUUAAAGAGUACUGAUUCUAGGGGCACCUGGGUGACUCGGUUAAGUGUCUGCCUUUGGCUCAGAUCAUGAUCCCAGCAUCCGGCUCCCUGCUCAGCAGGGAGCCUGCUUCUCUCCCUCUGCCUGCCACUCUCCCUACUUGUGCUCUCUCUUUCUCUCCCUCUCUCUCUCUCUCUCUGUCAAAUAAAUAGAUGAAAUUGUUUUUAAAAAGUACUAAUUGUAAAAACUACUUAAAACUCCCUCUCCUCCCUCCCUCUCUCUCUCUCCCUCUCUCUUUCUCUCUCUCUCUCUCUCUCUCUCUCUCUCACACACACACACACACACACACACACACACACACACACACACACACACGGUCCACAAAA